CCUACGGGAGGCAGCAGUGGGGAAUAUUGGGCAAUGGGCGCAAGCCUGACCCAGCAACGCCGCGUGAAGGAAGAAGGCUUUCGGGUUGUAAACUUCUUUUAAGAGGGAAGAGCAGAAGACGGUACCUCUUGAAUAAGCCACGGCUAACUAAGUGCCAGCAGCCGCGGUAAUACGUAGGUGGCAAGCGUUGUCCGGAUUUACUGGGUGGAAAGGGCGGGUAGCCGGGAAGACAAGUCAGAUGGGAAAUCCCGCGGCUCAACCGCGGAACUGCAUUUGAAACUGUUUUUCUUGAGUACCGGAGAGGUCAGCGGAAUUCGUUGUGUAGCGGUGAAAUGCGUAGAUAUAAGGAAGAACACCAGUGGCGAAGGCGGAUGACUGGACGGCAACUGACGGUGAGGCGCGAAAGCGUGGGGAGCAAACAGGAUUAGAUACCCGAGUAGUC
This 442-nucleotide ribosomal RNA is filed under the name uncultured bacterium. RNAcentral describes it as "partial 16S ribosomal RNA". It matches the Rfam family "Bacterial small subunit ribosomal RNA", at positions 338 to 795 of the family's 1533-position model. The record is from RNAcentral.